CCAAAAUUACAAUGAAAAUGCGAAAUAAUUCUAAAUUUUCGUAUAUUUUAAGGGCGUAACUAUGAUUUUCUCAUAAAGGCAUUUGAAAUUGUGCAUCUGUUAAAAAUGAAACAUAUGUCUAAACGAAUACACACACAUUUCGCCGCUUCUCCACAUGCACAGUACACACAUGUAUACGCGACGAAUGCUGUGAAUGUCCCAUACGCGAUAUGUGCACAUACACAGAUGCUUCAGUCUCAAUCAACAUUUUCUAGCAGUCGGACGUAUCUUCUGAUUGUGACUCUAACAUCCUUUUACCAGAUGCAAGAUGGCGUCCGUUGUUUUUCAACAAUUCCAUCUACACCAUCUCUGAAAAACAAUCAUUCUCAUUUUCGAAAAAUCAUAAAACAUUCAUUUUUUGACGAAUCUCAUCGAAAAAAUGAUAGAGAAAAAAACCGAAAAUUGGGAAAAAAAAUAUUGUAAACUUUUGCAUGGAGAUGAUGCUGGGGGUUUCGAACUCGGUUUAGAAUGUAACUACGCUUUACUACCAAAUAUCCUAUGGCUAAUACGACAUCUAACAUUGAAAGCAACAACAACAUUCAAAGCGGUGCUCUUAAUCUACGUUUGCCGAGUCGUCAACCACGCCACCACCAGAUCCCCGAGAAUAUUUGCGACGAAAAUACGUUUUAACAUCUCUGUCGAAAACACUGUGCAUUCAUGAAUGCCGUGACGUACUUACGCACUCGCACAUCGAGUGAAAUCUGCCGGCGGAGAAAUAACAGCUAAUGAAUGAACGCAUUAACAUCACAGCAAAGAUCUUUCAUCGGCAGAAAGCAAAAAAAAAACUUUGUGUUUUACUUUGGAUUGAAAUAUUUACAUAUCUAUCGAUGCAGUACAUGCCUAAUAUCAAUGUUGAUGUCAUAGUUUGUAAUUGUGAAUUUGAACAAUAAACGCAAAGUUUUCAA
This is a long non-coding RNA of Sitodiplosis mosellana (orange wheat blossom midge), 944 nucleotides long. RefSeq lists it as uncharacterized. The record is from RefSeq and is a predicted model, not a curated record. NCBI's taxonomy places the organism in Eukaryota, Metazoa, Arthropoda, Insecta, Diptera, Cecidomyiidae. The transcript is spliced from 2 exons.